AACGAACGCUGGCGGCAUGCCUAACACAUGCAAGUCGAACGAGAUCUUCGGGUCUAGUGGCGCACGGGUGCGUAACGCGUGGGAAUCUGCCCUUUGGUUCGGAAUAACAGUUGGAAACGACUGCUAAUACCGGAUGAUGACGAAAGUCCAAAGAUUUAUCGCCAGAGGAUGAGCCCGCGUAGGAUUAGCUAGUUGGUGUGGUAAAGGCGCACCAAGGCGACGAUCCUUAGCUGGUCUGAGAGGAUGAUCAGCCACACUGGGACUGAGACACGGCCCAGACUCCUGCGGGGGGCAGAAGUGGGGAAUAGUGGACAGGGGGCAAAGGCUUGAUCCAGAAACGCGGCGUGAGUGAUGAAGGCUGUAGGGUUGUAAAGCUCUUUUACCGGGGAUGAUAAAGACAGAACCGGGAAAAUAAGCUCCGGCUAACCCCGUGCCAGCCGCCGCAGUAA
This 449-nucleotide ribosomal RNA is filed under the name uncultured bacterium. Its description in RNAcentral is "partial 16S ribosomal RNA". It matches the Rfam family "Bacterial small subunit ribosomal RNA", at positions 29 to 523 of the family's 1533-position model. The record is from RNAcentral.